RNAcentral lists this ribosomal RNA (449 nucleotides) under uncultured bacterium. RNAcentral's name for it is "partial 16S ribosomal RNA". It matches the Rfam family "Bacterial small subunit ribosomal RNA", at positions 29 to 523 of the family's 1533-position model. The record is from RNAcentral.
AACGAACGCUGGCGGCAUGCCUAACACAUGCAAGUCGAACGAGAUCUUCGGGUCUAGUGGCGCACGGGUGCGUAACGCGUGGGAAUCUGCCCUUUGGUUCGGAAUAACAGUUGGAAACGACUGCUAAUACCGGAUGAUGACGAAAGUCCAAAGAUUUAUCGCCAGAGGAUGAGCCCGCGUAGGAUUAGCUAGUUGGUGUGGUAAAGGCGCACAAAGGCGACGAUCCUUAGCUGGUCUGAGGGGAUGAUCAGCCACACUGGGACUGAGCCACGGCCCAGACUCCUACGGGAGGCAGCAGUGGGGAAUAUUGGACAAUGGGCGAAAGCCUGCUCCAGCAAUGCCGCGUGAGUGAUGAAGGCCUUAGGGUUGUAAAGCUCUUUUACCCGGGAUGAUAAUGACAGUACCGGGAGAAUAAGCUCCGGCUAACUCCGUGCCAGCCGCCGCCGUAA